GAUGAACGCUGGCGGCGUGCCUAAUACAUGCAAGUCGAGCGAACAGACGAGGAGCUUGCUCCUCUGACGUUAGCGGCGGACGGGUGAGUAACACGUGGAUAACCUACCUAUAAGACUGGGAUAACUUCGGGAAACCGGAGCUAAUACCGGAUAAUAUAUUGAACCGCAUGGUUCAAUAGUGAAAGACGGUUUUGCUGUCACUUAUAGAUGGAUCCGCGCCGGAUUAGCUAGUUGGUAAGGUAACGGCUUACCAAGGCGACGAUGCGUAGCCGACCUGAGAGGGUGAUCGGCCACACUGGAACUGAGACACGGUCCAGACUCCUACGGGAGGCAGCAGUAGGGAAUCUUCCGCAAUGGGCGAAAGCCUGACGGAGCAACGCCGCGUGAGUGAUGAAGGUCUUCGGAUCGUAAAACUCUGUUAUUAGGGAAGAACAAAUGUGUAAGUAAAUAUGCACGUCUUGACGGUACCUAAUCAGAAAGCCCCGGCUAACUACGUG
RNAcentral lists this ribosomal RNA (497 nucleotides) under uncultured bacterium. RNAcentral describes it as "partial 16S ribosomal RNA". It matches the Rfam family "Bacterial small subunit ribosomal RNA", at positions 28 to 507 of the family's 1533-position model. The record is from RNAcentral.